GUGCCAGCCGCUGCGGUAAUACGAAGGGGCGAGCGUUGUUCGGAAUUACUGGGCGUAAAGGGCGCGUAGGCGGCGACUCAAGUUAGAUGUGAAAGUCCUGGGCUUAACCUGGGGACUGCAUUUGAUACUGGGUUGCUUGAAUUCGGGAGAGGAUAGCGGAAUUCCCAGUGUAGAGGUGAAAUUCGUAGAUAUUGGGAAGAACACCGGUGGCGAAGGCGGCUAUCUGGACCGACAUUGACGCUGAGGCGCGAAAGCGUGGGAGCAAACAGGAUUAGAUACCCUGGUAGUCCACGCCGUAAACGAUGAAUGCUAGACGCUGGGAGCGAUGCUC
Molecule: ribosomal RNA, 331 nt
Filed under: uncultured Dongia sp.
Lineage: Bacteria; Pseudomonadati; Pseudomonadota; Alphaproteobacteria; Rhodospirillales; Dongiaceae
Description: bacterial SSU rRNA
Rfam family: Bacterial small subunit ribosomal RNA
Source: RNAcentral